GCACAUAUAGUUUAUCUGGGAAAAUAAUUGAUUUCCAAUCAUUAAUAGUGGGUUCAAGUCCCACUAUGUGCA
RNAcentral lists this transfer RNA (72 nucleotides) under Topsentia ophiraphidites. RNAcentral's name for it is "tRNA-Gly". It matches the Rfam family "tRNA". Rfam says of the family: Transfer RNA (tRNA) molecules are approximately 80 nucleotides in length. Their secondary structure includes four short double-helical elements and three loops (D, anti-codon, and T loops). Lineage: Eukaryota; Metazoa; Porifera; Demospongiae; Suberitida; Halichondriidae. The record is from RNAcentral.